CGCGCUGCGUCCCCUCCCUCCGCCCGGGCGCCCGCGCGCGCGCGCAGCCCCUUCCUCUGCCUCGGGCUGCGCCGCGACCGUCUGCCGUGACGCGCGCCCCCUCCUCCCGACCCAUCCCGCCGCUCCAGUGAGCUAAUCCGCAGCUGGCGGGCGCCCGGCCGGUUGCCACGGCAACCACUCUCCCAGGGCCCGCCGCCGAGGGGGAGCCACGGCAGGUAUGGAACCCUAGGGGAAGCUUGGCUACACUUCGAAGUGAGUACUGCCACCUAGUGGAAGUAGAGUGAACCACGCCAGCAGGGACGCUACCAAGAACUGGAUACUUCAUUUGCUGGGGCUUUUGUUGUUGAGAAGAAUCUGGAAAUCAAUGGAGGCUACCCAAAGGAGGACAAAUGGGCUGUUUACUCAGCGUAGGCUGUAGAGAGGAAGCCAGCGCCACUGUGGAAGAGACUUGAACUCAAGUGGAGACAAACGCCUGUGGGCCCAGGUGUUGCUGGGGCCGUGGUGAAGGAAGAGGUGGUGUUCUAGCUUCAUUUCUAUGGCUGUGAUAAGACAGCCUGAUGACAAACAAUUUAGGGGAGGAAUGGGUUAUUUCUGGUUUACAAAUUUGCUUAUUUAAAAAAUUUUUUUGAGACAGAGUCUCACUGCGUAGCUCUGGCUGUCCUGAAACUCACUAUGUAGAUCAGGCUGGCCCUGAACUCAUAGAGAUCCAUCUGCUUCUAAGUGCUGGGAUUAAAGGCGUGCACAACCAUGUUUGACUGUUUCGGUUUACAUUCUCAGUCACCACCCAUCAUCGAGCAGAAGUCAAGGCGGGAACCCAAACAGCCCCGUCCGUCACAUCACGUGAACUCGCUCUCCUCUGAGUUUCUCCUGUCUCCCAUAGUUCGGGAUCUCCUGCCUAGGGAAUGGGGCCACCCACAGUGGGCUGGGGCUUCCUAAGUCACAGACAUGACCACGGGCCAGCCUGCUCUAGGCAGCCUUUCACUCUGGCUCUUUUUCUAAGUGAUUUUAGGUUGUGUUGAGUUGACAUUUAAAAAUAGCCAUCACAGCUAUGAAGUAGAGGAGGUGGAAGACUCUCAUAGUUCGAGGUGGCGGCUGACUCCCAGCAACCCGAGUCUUCCCUACACAGCAGGGGAGACACACAUACGAACACACAGACUGUGACAUCACACACAAGACCCACAGUUCAAACCAGACAAAAUCCCAGCACAGAGACGGGGAAGUGGACACAAAGUCUCACCUCUAACCAAGAAGCUAUUUGCAGCUAAUACCUGCUUGGAAAGGGAAAAUUGGUUUUCUGUAACAGAGUGUCCCUGAAUAUAUCAACCACAUUUCAGAGCAGGCCCCAUGUGCAGAAGCUGUUGGCCAAGACAAAACACACUCUGUGUUUUUUGUUUUGUUUUGUUUUUUUGAGACAGGGUUUCUCUGUGUAGCUUUGCACCUUUCCUGGAUCUCACUCUGUAGCCCAGGCUGGCCUCGAACUCACAGAAAUCUGCCUGCCUCUGCCUCCCGAGUGCUGGGAUUAAAGGUGUGCGCCACCACCACCUGGCGACUCCGUGUUUUUUGUGCGCCUUCUGUUUUGUUAUAUUUUUUUGGUCUUAUAAGUUUUACUUUGUUUGAUUUUCUUUUUUUUUUUUGAAAGAGCAGGAUGAAUUAGAGACGGAAGGAAUGAUGGAUCAGUAGGAAGGUGGGGGAGGAUCUGGAUGAGUUGGGGGAGGGGAAAGAAUAUGAUCAAAAUAUAUUUUAUGAAAAAAGUUUUUAAAUGAAAACUUCAAAAACUGAACCAUCAUAGGCAUGUUAUGUGACUGUCGGGCUGUCUGCAGCCAGUACUGAGUCGGAAGUGGGGUGAAAGUAGGGGCAGCUGGCACUCUCAACAAGCUAAGCUUUCCUUGUAAGCCUGUAGCUGUUGCAGGGGUCAGCCAGAGUUCCAUGGUGAAAUAUGGUCUGGCCUUCAUUUCGUCUCUAAAGUAGCCGGGUCCCAUGGUACCACCCUGUCUUCAUUGCUUUCACGGCCCUCGCUACACUGUGGAACUGCGCUUAUGUGCUCCCCCCAUCCCCUCUUCCCCUUCUACAGAUGCACAUUCUCCUGCCCCUUUCCUAGGUUUACAGACACAGAAGCUGAGGGUGGGCUAGCCCUCCAGGUAGUUAUGACAGACACUAGGGUUUGAGGUAGGUGCCAUAGGUAAAUUUCUAGGAGGCAACAAAGGUGCACCCACUCCCUGCUGGGAAUUGGCUAAGAUGUUACUUUAUUUAUUUUUAUGGGUAGGGUGAGGUAGGGUGGAUAUGGGCUUUAACAAUAGAAAAUUGGAAAACAUUUAUUAUUUAUUUAUUUAUUUAUUUAUUUAUUUAUUUAUUUCCGAGAUAGGGUUUCUCUGUGUAGCUUUGAACUACUGUUCCUGUCCUGGAACUCACUUUGUAGACCAGGCUGGCCUCGAACUCACAGAGAUCCACCUGCCUCUGCCUCCUGAGUGCUGGGAUUAAAGGCGUGCGCCACCACCGCCUGGCUAUUUAUUUGUUUUUGUUUGUUUAUUUUCAGGUAGGGUUUCCUGUACCCAUGUGAGCUUUAGACUUUGAUUGCAUGUGUGAACUACUCCACCUGGCAGGGCUUUGUUUAUUUAUUUACUUAGAGAGGGUUUCAUUAUGUAGCCUGGGCUAGCCUGGAACUCACUAUGUAGACCACGCUGGCCUUGAACUCACAAAAGACCCAUCUGUCUCUGCCUUCUGAGUGCUGGGAUUAAAGUUGUUUGAUGUGCCACCAUGCCAGGUCAGGACUUUAUUUUAAAUGAGAUCUGCUGGUCAUGGUGGCACAUGCCUGUCAUCACAGCACUCAGGAGGCAGAGGCAGAAAGACCAGAAGUUCAAGGUCAUCCUCAGGAACAUGUCAAAAUAGAGGCCUCUUUUAAAACAAAUUGCUUGGUAGCCAGACAGUGGUGAUACAUGCCUUUAAUCCCAUCAGAGGUUUUCUGAGUUGGAGGUUGGAGGUCUACAGAGCGAGUCCAGGUCAGCCAGGGCUACAGAGAAACCCUGUCUUGAAAAACCUAAAAACCUAAAAAAAAAUCACUUGGUCUGAUGCUUUAGACCAAGCACUUGGGAAGCCGAGGAAGGAUUGCCUCAAGUUCAAGGCCAGCUUGGCUCUGUAGUGAGAUCCAGACCAGCCUAGAUUAUGGAGUAAGGCCUUAUCUUAAAAUGAUAGUAACAGUGCUAAUACUGCUAAAUAAUCACAUAGAAAACAGAUGAGAUCUUCCACAGUGCAUCUUCCAUGCCUGUUAUAUGACUCAGGAGAACAGAACUACUUCUGCUUUCCAUUAAGUGAUAAAAAUGACCAUGUUUUGGCAGAGACGUAUUGGGCCUUCGUGAAAAACUCUCCCCUUCUGAUGCCAAUGGGGAUUGAGAGCCCAACAUGGCCAGCUUUGGCAAACAUUAACGUAAGCCUAGGAACUGUAGCCAUGCGGUUGGAUUCUCCAGAAGAGCUGCCAGCUUAAGUCAUGCUGGGAUCAAGAGAAAUGGGCCUUGGUGGUUUGUGUUCCUGGAGUUAUGUCCAUACCAGUGGAUGCCCACACGCUCCAGAAGAGAAUUUGACAUCACUGCUGCUGUUGUUGCUGUUAUAGCAGAGGUGGCCACUGCUGCCACUGUUUCUGGGAUUGCCAUUGUUAGUUAAUUAGCGGCGCUCUUACCCUGCGAGGGAAUGCCAUGAAACACGACAGAAUCCACUAACAAGAGUUUUAUUAAGAUAAAAGGGACAGAUGAGUGCCCAGGCCUGUGGGAGAGACACGUGUGUGGGAAAAAAGGAGGAGAAGGAGAAGAAGAAGAAGAAGAGGGCAGCCAGGAAUGUGGUGCCAGCUUAUAAAGGCUGGGUGGCAUAUGCGCAUACACAGGUCGACGUAACUACUCCACGCCUGCGCAGAUCACAUGGCUGCAUUGUGCACUCUUACACAACCAUGCAAAGUCACGGAUCCUGGUCACGAGAGACGCCUUGACCCGGAAAUGGCUAUCUUGACAUGGAACUGGCUAGGCAGAAGCGUCCACCGGGCAUGCACAAACACGCCCAACCUUGGGGGCGUGUUGUGAACCCAUCAGCCACUUCAUAAUUGGUUACUACAGCUAGCACAAUGGAGACUCUGGCAGCAAAAGUAGCUACUACAGUUAGUUAAUCUUUCAUUCUAUUCUGCCCUCUGGGGUUCUCCCAUUGUGCUAUAAGCCUGUAUUUAAGACCUCCUCCCUCCUUCAAUAAACGGCAUUCGGCAUUCA
Peromyscus californicus insignis is the source of this 4244-nucleotide long non-coding RNA. RefSeq lists it as uncharacterized. The transcript is spliced from 3 exons. The record is from RefSeq and is a predicted model, not a curated record. NCBI's taxonomy places the organism in Eukaryota, Metazoa, Chordata, Mammalia, Rodentia, Cricetidae.